AAAGCAAUUUUGUUAAUCACUUUAGCACCAAUUCUUGCAUCCCUGGCAAUACUCAGAACUGCCUCCAUCCAAGUCUUUGAUGUGGGAAAGAAACACACACACUCUUUCACAUGUAAUCUGAAAACAAUUCACCUCUUGCCAAUGAAUGCACAGCACUCCACUUUAAUAGAGAGCAAGUUCUGUGGAGGUUUCUAAUCCUUUCUGCCAAAGAAGAGAAGAGAGAGAAUCACUCAGGUAGCCCAACCUCAUUCAGGAGUUAAAAUCACUUGGAAUGUUUUGUGGUGUGUUGGGGGCUUUUUAAAAAAUAUCACUUGCUGAAGAUUACGGCUCUCAGGGGAAAUCAAAACAACUCAAGAUCAAAAAAAAUAAAUAAAAAAUAAAAAUAAAAAAAGAGUCCCCAUCCCCAACUCAAACAGGAUAUUCUUCUCAACUCAGAUAACUCUUGAUCUAAGUGUAUUACAAGAAACCUGCUUUAAUCCCUCAAAGCAAUGGUGUUAUAGAUAAGUAGCGGUAACUGAGGUGGCUUAAAUUCCAGAAAUGUACAAAAGAUUUGGUUGGAAACAAAACUAAAGAAGAAAGCAAGCUCAAUCUGCAUUGCUGUGACUUAAGAGGUAAAUUUAGGGCAGUAAAAAUGCAAAGAAUGACCCGUAAAAAAGAAAUAGCCAUAAAGUCCAGAAUUGUCCUAAUGGUCCCACAGGCUGCUUUCAGCAUGUGUCUGAAUGUGUGUGUGCUUUAGGGGUGUGUUUGUGGAAGUAUUUUAAGAAAGUGAAAUUGUUUUACUGAUUUCAGGAUCUGACAGAGUUCAUUUGAAAAUUUCUUUAUACAUUUUACUGUGAUAUUACAACAUUCUGAAACGGUAUUUCACAAAUGAUUUUCUUGCUCUUUAUAUUUUCUUUCUCUUUAUAUUUUUGGUUGAACUCCAGUAUUUUUUUCUUAUUUAGUCCCUUUUUCCUUGACGUAUCACUGCUCACUUAAAUGCAAUGGGAUGGACUUUAUGGUUUUUCCUUCUGUCAGUAAUUAACCAUAUUUUCACAGUCUGGGUAUUCGUUUUGAUCUAUCUUCUGACAUCCCAGUGAACAGAUUGCAAAUUCCCCCUCCCGCUUGUCAACUAUAGCUCUCUAUUGCAAAAUAAUGGCAAUUUCUUUCAUUAUGGCCUCUCCCAUUUGCCCAAAACAUGCUUGAAAAUGCUCUUUCACCUUUUUAAGAGUGCCCCCUUUUUAGAGGUAAAGCUUGUUAUUUGAUAGAUGAUACAUACAAAUAGUUAAUAGUUAAAAAUUCAAAAGGUAUAAAAUAGCAUGGCACCCAGUUCCCCUUCUUAGAAGCAGACCUUGGUGCUAGGUUUUUGUGUAUCUCUCCAGAGAUCUUUGGCAUACAAAAGUCAAAGCACACACAUGUAGUUUCUCCUGCAAAUGGCAACGUAUGAUAUACACUCUUCUGUAGCUUGCUUUUCCCCUUAAUGUAUAUUAGAGAUCGUUCUAUAGCAGUGCGCAUGGUCUUCCUCAUUCUUUCUCACAGUUGCUUAGUAUCCUAUUCUACAGGUGUUCCAUGGUUUAUUUAAACAGUUUGGAAUACAUCUGUUCCAAACGCUUCUAUUCUCUAAUCGUGGCUUCUUUCCUCACCGGUUGUGUCUGUGACUCUAUCCUAGGUACCGUAAAUAAGUCACUGAAUUGUAACCCGGAGGGCUCUUGAACAAGUUUUAAAAUUUUGUUUUCUAAACAUUUAAAAACUGAAAAAAUUACCCAAAGGGAUGUGGGUUUAUAGUUUUCAAAAAAACAAACAGACAAACAAACAAGCAGAAUUAUGGCAGUUAUGUGGUGCCAAGACUUUGAAUUAUUUUUUGAAUUAUUUCCUCUCAGUCUCAUCAUGGAUCCCGCCUGGACUGUGUCAUGACCUACCUGCUUAAAAAUUUAAAAUUCCAUUUUUCAUUGACUUUCCUAUAUGGGUUAACGUAGGAUUCUGUAUUGAGAAUUUCCUUCCAGCAGCUGGUAUUAACUUUAAUUCCCUUAACCUAUGAAAUAUUAUUAAACAUUUUCUUAUAUACUUUUAAUUGAAAACCAAUUUGACAUGCUAUCUCAUACGUGACUUCAGGGAAAUUGGAACUUCUAGUUGACCUCAGUUCUUUGGGGAGGGCAAAGCAAACCAUGGGGCCUGACUGUUGCGACUCCUUUCCUAUUGUUGAGUCGUCUAAGAGAUGAAGAUCUUGGGAGGUUAUAGAUUAGAUCCCCUGGGUUGUGCCACACCUCCACUGAGACUGGUCAUGCUGACGGCAUGCAUGAGAACCUGGGCAAAAAUUUCUCUCCGCAUAUUGGGGCCUCCAUGGCAUUUGGAGUCUCAAGCCCUUGUCAAGUGAGGAUUUGAACUCUUAGCUCUGCCUUGCCGGAGCUGAUAUCCAUGUGAGUAUUGUUUGCUUCUACUGUCUGACCUCGUUCAAUUUCAGUUUUUUUCAUCUGUCCAUUUGGUUCCUAAUUUAUGAGCUUCUAUUGCACAUGUAAAGUUUAGCCUCUCUUUGCUCGCUGUUUCACCGGCA
Molecule: long non-coding RNA, 2527 nt
Filed under: Lynx pardinus (Iberian lynx)
Lineage: Eukaryota; Metazoa; Chordata; Mammalia; Carnivora; Felidae
Source: RNAcentral